Long non-coding RNA from Vicia villosa (hairy vetch), 706 nucleotides. RefSeq lists it as uncharacterized. The transcript has 3 exons. NCBI's taxonomy places the organism in Eukaryota, Viridiplantae, Streptophyta, Magnoliopsida, Fabales, Fabaceae. The record is from RefSeq and is a predicted model, not a curated record.
AGACUUCUCAGACUCAAUCCUUUCUUGCUCUUCUCUCUCGAACAAAACCUCCCUCACCGGGAAUCGCUCCGCCGUGCCGGAGGCGGCGGAGCUUGACCAAAUCUGGAAAUUAUGACCUCGCUACAAACCUCUCUUCAUCCUCUGUCAGAAUCCCGCAUCAAUUUUGCCUGAAAGAGGCUCCCUCCUCCCAAAUCGAGAGAGGGAUUACGAACCCUAGAUCUAACAAUAAACCAAAUUAGACGAUAACAACCGCGAAUCAUGAAGCGAGGCCAUGGGGGAAGAAUUCAGGGGACACUGAUAUUCGUUAUAACAUCAAACAAUAGCGUAAAGAGAUGAAGAAAGUUGGAGGAAUUCGCGUUUACCUACCGGAGUCAGUCCGGCGCUCCUUCGACGACGUCGACUUGGCGAAAUAAACGCAAGGAUAUACUUCAAUCUCAGGGGCUGAAUUUGAUGAUUUGCUGCUGAACUUUGCGAAUCGACUUGCUUUGAGCAGAUAUUUGUGAGGAUGGGCAGAAGAUGAUGGAUGAAGGCUUGAAGGAAUAAACUCAUAGUGAAGUUUAGUGUUGGGGACACCAAUGGAUUGAAUUUGUUUUUUUUGUAAUAAAAUUGUAACGGUGACACAUUAUGAAUGUAAUAUGAUUUGAAAUGUAAUGAUCUUUUCUGAUUUGUAACAAGAUCAUGAUGGAAGCUCAAAGCAACAUGGAAU